GGGUUACAUAGCUGAUGAAUUCGAACCGGGUGAAUAACGCGUAGGUAACCUGCCUCAUAGCGGGGGAUCAACUAUUGGGAAACGAUAGCUUAAUCCGCAUAAGAGUGAUUAACACAUGUUAGUUAUUUCAAAAGGAGCAAUUGCUUCACUGUGAGAUGGACCUGCGUUGUAUUAGCUAGUUGGUGAGGUAAAGGCUCACCAAGGCGACGAUACAUAGCCGACCUGAGAGGGUGAUCGGCCACACUGGGACUGAGACACGGCCCAGACUCCUACGGGAGGCAGCAGUAGGGAAUCUUCGGCAAUGGACGGAAGUCUGACCGAGCAACGCCGCGUGAGUGAAGAAGGUUUUCGGAUCGUAAAGCUCUGUUGUUAGAGAAGAACGUUGGUAGGAGUGGAAAAUCUACCAAGUGACGGUAACUAACCAGAAAGGGACGGCUAACUACGUGCCAGCAGCCGCGGUAAUACGUAGGUCCCGAGCGUUGUCCGGAUUUAUUGGGCGUAAAGCGAGCGCAGGCGGUUCUUUAAGUCUGAAGUUAAAGGCAGUGGCUUAACCAUUGUACGCUUUGGAAACUGGAGGACUUGAGUGCAGAAGGGGAGAGUGGAAUUCCAUGUGUAGCGGUGAAAUGCGUAGAUAUAUGGAGGAACACCGGUGGCGAAAGCGGCUCUCUGGUCUGUAACUGACGCUGAGGCUCGAAAGCGUGGGGAGCAAACAGGAUUAGAUACCCUGGUAGUCCACGCCGUAAACGAUGAGUGCUAGGUGUUAGGCCCUUUCCGGGGCUUAGUGCCGCAGCUAACGCAUUAAGCACUCCGCCUGGGGAGUACGACCGCAAGGUUG
This 835-nucleotide ribosomal RNA is filed under the name uncultured Streptococcaceae bacterium. Its description in RNAcentral is "bacterial SSU rRNA". It matches the Rfam family "Bacterial small subunit ribosomal RNA", at positions 77 to 896 of the family's 1533-position model. Lineage: Bacteria; Bacillati; Bacillota; Bacilli; Lactobacillales; Streptococcaceae. The record is from RNAcentral.